This 377-nucleotide ribosomal RNA is filed under the name Haploptychius sp. 6 TS-2020. RNAcentral describes it as "partial large subunit ribosomal RNA". It matches the Rfam family "Archaeal large subunit ribosomal RNA", at positions 1920 to 2665 of the family's 2987-position model. The record is from RNAcentral. Lineage: Eukaryota; Metazoa; Mollusca; Gastropoda; Stylommatophora; Streptaxidae.
AGCCACAUGUAUAUAUAUUUGGUUAUUUCUGCCCAGUGACUUUUUAACGGCCGCAGUACUUUGACUGUGCUAAGGUAGCAUAAUCAAUUGACUUUUAAAUGAAGUCUAGAAUGAAAGGAUUUAUGGGGAAUAUCUGUCUUUUAGUGGGUUUCAUUAAGUUAUUUAAAAGGUGAAAAUCCCUUUACUUUUUUAAAAGACGAGAAGACCCUUAGAGUUUUUUUGUUGGGGUGACAAAUAAACAAACUUUAUUUAAAGAGAGAUAAAACUACCUUAGGGAUAACAGCAUAAUUUUACUUUAAGAUUGUGACCUCGAUGUUGGACUAGGGAUUUUAUAGUAAGAAACUAAAAAAAAGGGUUCUGUUCGAACUUAAUCUCCU